AGAAUAUUGUGCAACAUGGUUAUGGGUACUACAGUGGAUGUGAGUGUGUAGACCUUGUACAAUAGAGCUUAUAGGCUAAUGAGAAGACAGGAAGAAACAACAGGAACACAUAUAGCUGGAAUGCAGAUGGGAUCUGUGCUACUUACGCUAGCCAUGGGAUGAUUAGAACAAGAUAAGAGACAUGAGGAAGACUUCUUCAAGGAGGUGCUCAAGCCAUGUUUUGGAAAAGAGAACUCAAGGUCUGGCAGGGAGAAAGGAGCAAGGUCCUCUUCUCCCUGAAGGCUGUCACAGUUCCUGUGCAGAGAGAGAGGGCACUGCAGCACCCAGGCGCUGACUGCCUUUUGUCAGUCUCAUUUGCAGGCCCCCAGCUGGAGAACCCAGGAGGAAGAGGAAAAAAGUUUUUUCCUCCUCUACACUCCCCAUGCAUGACUAAAGAGUAGGAGGAGUCAGCAAGGCAGACAUAUAUAGUACCCAGGAGGUGGACAAACAACUGCCUUGGUGGAAACUCUGUCCUUUCUGGACUUAUCCUGGUGCCACUGAGACUGUGCAGCAAGCCAUGUAUCUGGCUCCCCUCCCACCUUCUCACCUUGGAACACCACCAGCUGUAGGCAUCUACAUGCAGCAGGAAGCAUCACUGAGUCCCACACUUACAGGGAAAGCAUCACCCGAAAGUGAGAAUGCCUAGAGGCAGGAAUCAUGGAGGCUUCCUUAACCGUCUGUCUGCAACAGCAGGUUGCUCAUCACUGGUGCAUUGGAAAGAACACUGGGCUAAUGCCUUCGGGCAAGCCACUUCACCACCCUGGCUCCAGUCUCCUCAUAUGCAAGAAGGGCUUAAAAUUGUGAUGGACACCAGCCAUCAGGCCUCCCAGAUAGAGUCAAGGAAUGGAAACUUACCCAGUCACCACAUCUGGGAAACACCAGACCCCUUGCCCAUCAUGAUUGCCUAACUGCUGCCUGUGGAUCAGCUCUUCUUCCUUAUCCCCUCCCUCAUUCCUGUUUUCCCACACUUAGUUGCAUUUCUUCCCUGCUAUAUAGACUCCGAAUUUUAGUCAGCUGAGGAGACAAAUUUGAAACUGAUCUUCCAUUCUCCAUCGCUGCAGCACCUGAAUAAAGCCUUCUUCCCUG
Molecule: long non-coding RNA, 1125 nt
Filed under: Homo sapiens (human)
Lineage: Eukaryota; Metazoa; Chordata; Mammalia; Primates; Hominidae
Description: long intergenic non-protein coding RNA 2532
Source: RNAcentral